CGUACAGGUCUCCGUAGGUGAACCUGCGGAGGGAUCAUUACACAAAUAUGAGGGCGGGCUGGAACCUCUCGGGGUUACAGCCUUGCUGAAUUAUUCACCCUUGUCUUUUGCGUACUUCUUGUUUCCUUGGUGGGUUCGCCCACCACUAGGACAAACAUAAACCUUUUGUAAUUGCAAUCAGCGUCAGUAACAAAUUAAUAAUUACAACUUUCAACAACGGAUCUCUUGGUUCUGGCAUCGAUGAAGAACGCAGCGAAAUGCGAUAAGUAGUGUGAAUUGCAGAAUUCAGUGAAUCAUCGAAUCUUUGAACGCACAUUGCGCCCUUUGGUAUUCCAAAGGGCAUGCCUGUUCGAGCGUCAUUUGUACCCUCAAGCUUUGCUUGGUGUUGGGCGUCUUGUCUCUAGCUUUGCUGGAGACUCGCCUUAAAGUAAUUGGCAGCCGGCCUACUGGUUUCGGAGCGCAGCACAAGUCGCACUCUCUAUCAGCAAAGGUCUAGCAUCCAUUAAGCCUUUUUUUCAACUUUUGACCUCGGAUCAGGUAGGGAUACCCGCUGAACUUA
Molecule: ribosomal RNA, 559 nt
Filed under: uncultured fungus
Lineage: Eukaryota; Fungi
Description: eukaryotic LSU rRNA
Rfam family: 5.8S ribosomal RNA (bases 206-359)
Source: RNAcentral